RNAcentral lists this transfer RNA (85 nucleotides) under hydrothermal vent metagenome. Its description in RNAcentral is "tRNA-Leu-GAG". It matches the Rfam family "tRNA". From Rfam's summary of the family: Transfer RNA (tRNA) molecules are approximately 80 nucleotides in length. Their secondary structure includes four short double-helical elements and three loops (D, anti-codon, and T loops). The record is from RNAcentral.
GCCGAUGUGGUGAAAUUGGUAGACACGCCAUCUUGAGGGGGUGGUGGGGUAACCCGUGCCGGUUCGACUCCGGCCAUCGGCACCA